CAGCAGCCGCGGGAAUACGUAGGUGGCAAGCGUUGUCCGGAUUUAUUGGGCGUAAAGCGAGCGCAGGCGGUUUCUUAAGUCUGAUGUGAAAGCCCCCGGCUCAACCGGGGAGGGUCAUUGGAAACUGGGAGACUUGAGUGCAGAAGAGGAGAGUGGAAUUCCAUGUGUAGCGGUGAAAUGCGUAGAUAUAUGGAGGAACACCAGUGGCGAAGGCGGCUCUCUGGUCUGUAACUGACGCUGAGGCUCGAAAGCGUGGGGAGCGAACAGGAUUAGAUACCCGUGUAGUCCCUGUCUCUUAUAC
Molecule: ribosomal RNA, 301 nt
Filed under: uncultured bacterium
Lineage: Bacteria
Description: partial 16S ribosomal RNA
Rfam family: Bacterial small subunit ribosomal RNA
Source: RNAcentral